CCCUUAGAUGUUCUGGGCCGCACGCGCGCUACACUGAACAGUUCAACAAGUCUUAACCUUGGCCGAUAGGUCUGGGUAAUCUUUGAACGCUGUUCGUGAUUGGGAUAGACCUUUGCAAUUAUGGGUCUUCAACGAGGAAUUCCUAGUAAACGCAAGUCAUCAGCUUGCAUUGAUUACGUCCCUGCCCUUUGUACACACCGCCCGUCGCACCUACCGAUUGAAUGGUCCGGUGAAAUCUCGGGACGGCGGCUCGGUCGCUUGCGUCCGACUGCUGAAACUUGAUUAAACCAUAUCAUUUAGAGGAAGGUGAAGUCGUNACA
This 320-nucleotide ribosomal RNA is filed under the name uncultured eukaryote. Its description in RNAcentral is "partial 18S ribosomal RNA". It matches the Rfam family "Eukaryotic small subunit ribosomal RNA", at positions 1470 to 1796 of the family's 1831-position model. The record is from RNAcentral.